This 93-nucleotide transfer RNA is filed under the name Halomonas halophila. RNAcentral describes it as "tRNA-Ala". Lineage: Bacteria; Pseudomonadati; Pseudomonadota; Gammaproteobacteria; Oceanospirillales; Halomonadaceae. The record is from RNAcentral.
CGUAGCCGUGCUCGGCGGCGUGGUCCAGCAUCUGGCGCAUGCUGAUCAGUGCCAUGAAGUCACCCUUUGUCGUUUGAGGCGGCGGGCUGCGCC